GACUUCCUACACUGCUCGCCAGGAAAUCUGGGUGUGUCCUUUUUAAGAGAAGCGAAGCCUCGCCCUCUCCUUGGAGACUUGUAACUCUUAUUUCCCACCGCCCCUGACCAAGUCACUAGCCUGUCGUCGGCCACUAAUAAGUGACUUACGCUCUGAGAGGCGAUAAGUGGUGGCCGUAGCGGAAACUACAAUACCCAGAAGUCUCUACGGUCCGGACGGCAGUGGCGGUGGCGACUGAACCAAUGAGGGCUUAGGAGAGGGGCGCAUACAGCGCGCGCAUCGUUGGGGCGGGACUGCCGGCGUCCCUUACGGUUAUUUUGGUCGUUUUAGUGUUUGUCACCGGCUCAACGCCUCAGAGGCGUUUCGUGGGCAUUGUGGUGAGCGAGCAGAAAAGUGCGAGGAGAGUUGUCCCGGCUGCACGGAGUCGGCUGUGAGGCCCGACUGAGCGAGCCCAUUGGUGACGGCGGCGCCCUGUUCCCGCCCCGUCGCCCAGCUCCGGUCCCGCUUUCCCUACAGGUCGGUGGCGGGGGCCGCGGACUCAGGGAACACAGAGCCAGGUGUGUCGCCUGGAGCGGCGACAUGAGCAGCUAAAAGCUAUGGAAGAUUGUGAAGGGACGGCGGUGAGGAGCGGUGAACAUAAAGAUCUGGAAGCUGAGGCAGGGAGCAGGAUUGGCGAUAUCAAAGGAGUGGAGAGUGCGGACUGGACCAGGGCAGGCCUGGGGACCAAACUGAGGAGAGUCUUAAGGUUGUUAUUUCAGAUGGGAGGGAAGGCAUAGGGAGCGGGUGUUGGCAUCCCCUCUGUUCCCUCCAGAAAAGAGAGGACCCGACAUAGGAGGGACGCUGGCCUGUGUCUGUAGAAAGGGAGGCCUCAAUGGGGUAAGGAGUCUGCCAGUUGGCUGGUGCAGAUUCUCCACUUGCAGACCUUGCUAACCCUCAAGGCCACUCCGUAUGGAACAACGGAAAUGUCGACCAGGCUGGUGGAGCCACUGGGUCCAAGACCAGGUUACUGCUGCCUCACCUCCUUCAGCCCCAGAGCAAGAGAUGUGAUCCACUGCUUCAGUCAGGGUCCCCCAACAAGCUCCCCUCAGAGAAUUAUGUUGCAGGCAGGCCUGGUUGCUGAAGGGACUAGUAGCUGACCUGUCUGCUCAGUCUCUCCCUACAACUCAUUAACUUAAGAUUAUAUAAAAUGUAUUGAUUUCAUCACUAAUUAACCAAUAUCCCUAUCAAUAUGUACACACAGGUAGGCAAUUAGAAGUGAGCCUACUUAAUAAGUUCAGUUUAUGCUAGCACUUUAUAAUUGGCUUGACAUUAAUUUCCUUCUAAGUGUUUGCUUACAAUGUAGUUUUAGAUAUGAUAUUCUGUGAAACCUUAAAAAGCAGCAAAAAUAAGACCCCAAAAUUUAAAACCCUACCACUUCAUCUGCACUGAAAAUAUAUGGAAACUCAAUCCUAUGCACAGCAAUAGCUGACAUAGUAAUAGCAUACUGUGUAAUGCAACAAUACAUAGUAUGCAUUCCUUACAUUUGAUACCAAUUUGAGCCCUAUGAAGUCAGAAGCAUUCUUAACCCCCAUAAGCAUUUUUUUUUCCUUAGGUUCAGGGAGAUUUGGUCCUUCUCCAAGGUCACC
Hipposideros armiger (great roundleaf bat) is the source of this 1625-nucleotide long non-coding RNA. RefSeq lists it as uncharacterized. The record is from RefSeq and is a predicted model, not a curated record. The transcript is spliced from 3 exons. NCBI's taxonomy places the organism in Eukaryota, Metazoa, Chordata, Mammalia, Chiroptera, Hipposideridae.